CAAAGGCUUGGUCCUGACUUUGCUAUCAACUUUAGCUAAGCUUACACAUGCGAGUAUCCGCAACCCCGUGAGGAUGCCCACAGUUCCCUGGAUGGGAACAAGGAGCCGGUAUCAGGCACGAAAUUUCUCAGCCCACGACACCUUGCUCAGCCACACCCCUAAGGGAUUUCAGCAGUGACAGAUAUUAAGCUAUGAGUGAAAACUUGACUUAGCUAGUGCUAACAGGGUUGGUAAAUCUCGUGCCAGCCACCGCGGUUAUACGAGGGACCCAAGUUGACAGCCGCCGGCGUAAAGAGUGGUUAAGACAAGACCUUAAACUAAAGUCGAACGGCCUCAGAGCUGUUAUAAGCUUAUGAAAGCAUGAAGCCCAAUAACGAAAGUGACUUUAACUCUUCUGACCCCACGAAAGCUAGGGCACAAACUGGGAUUAGAUACCCCACUAUGCCUAGCCCUAAACAUCGAUAGUCAUCUACCUGCACUAUCCGCCCGGGUACUACGAGCACCAGCUUAAAACCCAAAGGACUUGGCGGUGCUUUAGAUCCACCUAGAGGAGCCUGUUCUAGAACCGAUAAUCCCCGUUAAACCUCACCCUUCCUUGUCUCUCCCGCCUAUAUACCGCCGUCGUCAGCUUACCCUGUGAAGGCCAAAUAGUAAGCAAAACUGGCACUGCCCAAAACGUCAGGUCGAGGUGUAGCGAAUGGAGGGGGAAGAAAUGGGCUACAUUCAAUACCCUGCAAUGAAUACGAAUGGUGAACUGAAAACUUCACCUGAAGGAGGAUUUAGUAGUAAGCAGAAAACAGAGUGUUCUGCUGAAUUUGGCCCUGAAGCGCGCACACACCGCCCGU
RNAcentral lists this non-coding RNA (845 nucleotides) under Novaculichthys taeniourus. Its description in RNAcentral is "partial small subunit ribosomal RNA". It matches the Rfam family "Bacterial small subunit ribosomal RNA". Lineage: Eukaryota; Metazoa; Chordata; Actinopteri; Labriformes; Labridae. The record is from RNAcentral.